This 76-nucleotide transfer RNA is filed under the name Candidatus Sungiibacteriota bacterium. Its description in RNAcentral is "Candidatus Sungbacteria bacterium tRNA-Gln". It matches the Rfam family "tRNA". Rfam says of the family: Transfer RNA (tRNA) molecules are approximately 80 nucleotides in length. Lineage: Bacteria; Candidatus Sungiibacteriota. The record is from RNAcentral.
UGGGAGGUCGUCUAACUGGUAGGACGCCGGGCCCUGAACUCGGAAACCGAAGGUUCGAACCCUUCCCUCCCAACCA